Molecule: ribosomal RNA, 451 nt
Filed under: uncultured bacterium
Lineage: Bacteria
Description: SSU rRNA
Rfam family: Bacterial small subunit ribosomal RNA
Source: RNAcentral
AGGACAAACGCUGGCGGCGUGCAUAACACAUGCAAGUCGAACGAGCCUAGCGAUAGGCGAGUGGCGGACGGGUGAGGAACACGUGGAUGACCGACCUUUUACUGGGGAAUACCCGUGGGAAACCACGGCUAAAUACCGCAUACGUUCGAGAGAAGAAAGCCUUCGGGCGGUAAGAGACGGGUCUGCGGUCGAUUAGCUAGUUGGUGCGGUAACGGCGUACCAAGGCGACGAUCGAUAGCUGGUCUGAGAGGAUGAUCAGCCACAUUGGGAUUGAGAACGGCCCAAAUCCCUACGGGGAGCAGCAGUGAGGAUAUUCGGCAAUGGGCGCAAGCCUGACCGAGCGACGCCGCGUGGGGGAUGACGCAUUUCGGUGUGUAAACCCCUUUUCUGUGGGACGAGAAUGGACGGUACCACAGGAAUAAGUCUCGGCUAACUACGCGCCAGCAGCCGC